This 1266-nucleotide long non-coding RNA is filed under the name Mustela putorius furo (domestic ferret). RNAcentral's name for it is "lncRNA (ENSMPUG00000026262.1)". Lineage: Eukaryota; Metazoa; Chordata; Mammalia; Carnivora; Mustelidae. The record is from RNAcentral.
CUUUGGUUCAGGUCAUGAUUUCAUGACAUCAGGGUUCUGAGAGCGAGCCCAGUGUUGGGCUCCCAUUCAGGGGGUCUGCUUCUCCCUCUUGCUCUCCCCUUAUUCGUGCUCUCUCACUCAAAUAAAUACAUAAAAUCUUUAAAUAAAAAUCAACUUCAGAAGCUUUAUUAUUGAGUGUGUUAGAAAGAAUUUCUGAUUGGCAAAACUAGUGGAGUUUAAGUUAUGUGAUUGUUAGCAUCUGGGCAUCUCCAUCAUUGCAGAAACAACGUAUAUACAAGGAUCUAUUCAGGUCAGUAGUUCCUACCAGGGGGACAGUUCUUACCAGAGGAGCAUCUGGUGCUACACCUCUCCCAUCAGCGGAUGAUCCUAUCAUCGGAUCUGACCAAAAGGCCUGACCCUCCCUCCAGCAGAAUAUGCCUGUCUUCAUCUUGGAGACAGCCUUUCAUGAGGAGACUAGUCAUUGCAUCAGGGGUUGAGACUGGUAAUAUUCCAAGCAUAUACAGGCUGCAUGAUCAGUUUUGUGUCUGCUUGCCUGCAAAUAUUUGUUUAGAAUAACGUGGUCUGAAAUGUGCUUUUGCUACAACAGCCAGGUAAAAAGUGGUGUUUUGGAAACCCAGAGAUGACACACCAUGUAACUACUGAUAAAGUUCAAAAUUACCUGACAUUCGUGGAACAGAAACCUGGGAAAGAAGAGAGCCCCUGGGGAAACAAACAGCAUGUACAAAGGACCAGAAGAAUAAAAGAAGCUGAAAUGUUUGCACAACUGACAUGUCGUAUAACAGAAGCACAGCCAACGAAGGGAAGAAAAAACCUGAAGAAAGAAACCAGCUCAUAAACCCUGAAAAAAAGAUUUUAUUGCACUUAAGUUAUAAUGAGAAGAACUGAGACAUGAUAAGAGGACAAAUAACGUGGUCCAGCUUUUGUUUUUAAAAAGAAUACUCUAGAAAAGAAAGAAGGGAAGGAAGGAAAAAGAAGGAAAAAGAAUGCUUUGGUUAAUGUUUGCGGAAAUGAAAUAUUCUGACAAUCCUUUUGUAAAAAGCACCAUCUCAAGGAGUUAUUUACAUUAAAUAUUUUCAGGGGAAUUGUUUUUUUCUAGUUUGCAAUUUCUCUUUUAAAAUAUUUGCAUUAGGGGCACCUGAGUGGCUCAGUGGGGUAAAGCCUCUGUCUUCGGCUCAGGUCAUGAUUCCAGGGUCCUGGGAUCCGAGCCCCGCAUCACAUCGGGCUCUCUGCUCCGCAGGGAGCCUGCUUCCUCCUCUCUCUCUGCCU